GAGGUGCCGUGCUAUAAUGCAGUCGAGCGAAUCGACGGGAGCUUGCUCCCUGAGAUUAGCGGCGGACGGGUGAGUAACACGUGGGCAACCUGCCUAUAAGACUGGGAUAACUUCGGGAAACCGGAGCUAAUACCGGAUACGUUCUUUUCUCGCAUGAGAGAAGAUGGAAAGACGGUUUACGCUGUCACUUAUAGAUGGGCCCGCGGCGCAUUAGCUAGUUGGUGAGGUAAUGGCUCACCAAGGCGACGAUGCGUAGCCGACCUGAGAGGGUGAUCGGCCACACUGGGACUGAGACACGGCCCAGACUCCUACGGGAGGCAGCAGUAGGGAAUCUUCCGCAAUGGACGAAAGUCUGACGGAGCAACGCCGCGUGAACGAAGAAGGCCUUCGGGUCGUAAAGUUCUGUUGUUAGGGAAGAACAAGUACCAGAGUAACUGCUGGUACCUUGACGGUACCUAACCAGAAAGCCACGGCUAACUACGUGCCAGCAGCCGCGGUAAUACGUAGGUGGCAAGCGUUGUCCGGAAUUAUUGGGCGUAAAGCGCGCGCAGGUGGUUCCUUAAGUCUGAUGUGAAAGCCCACGGCUCAACCGUGGAGGGU
Molecule: ribosomal RNA, 600 nt
Filed under: Peribacillus frigoritolerans
Lineage: Bacteria; Bacillati; Bacillota; Bacilli; Caryophanales; Bacillaceae
Description: bacterial SSU rRNA
Rfam family: Bacterial small subunit ribosomal RNA
Source: RNAcentral